Molecule: ribosomal RNA, 340 nt
Filed under: uncultured Halorubrum sp.
Lineage: Archaea; Methanobacteriati; Methanobacteriota; Halobacteria; Halobacteriales; Haloferacaceae
Description: bacterial SSU rRNA
Rfam family: Archaeal small subunit ribosomal RNA
Source: RNAcentral
AGUGCCAUAAGGGGAUCCCAAGUGCGUAGGCAUAGAGCCUACGCUUUUGUCCACCCUAGGGUGGUGGACGAAUAAGGGCUGGGCAAGACCGGUGCCAGCCGCCGCGGUAAUACCGGCAGCCCGAGUGAUGGCCGAUCUUAUCGGGCCUAAAGCGUCCGUAGCUGGCCGCACAAGUCCAUCGGGAAAUCCACCUGCUCAACAGGUGGGCGUCCGGUGGAAACUGUGUGGCUUGGGACCGGAGGGCGCGACGGGUACGUCCGGGGUAGGAGUGAAAUCCCGUAAUCCUGGACGGACCGCCGAUGGCGAAAGCACGUCGCGAAGACGGAUCCCACAGUGAGGG